RNAcentral lists this ribosomal RNA (507 nucleotides) under uncultured bacterium. RNAcentral's name for it is "partial 16S ribosomal RNA". It matches the Rfam family "Bacterial small subunit ribosomal RNA", at positions 28 to 523 of the family's 1533-position model. The record is from RNAcentral.
GAUGAACGCUAGCUACAGGCUUAACACAUGCAAGUCGAGGGGUAACGAGAGGGAAGCUUGCUUUCCUUGUCGACGACCGGCGCACGGGUGAGUAACGCGUAUCCAACCUGCCCCCAACUAGGGAAUAACCUUGCGAAAGUAAGACUAAUACCCUAUAAUUUCCUCAGAUGUCAUCUGACGAGGAAUAAAGAUUUAUCGGUUGUGGAUGGGGAUGCGUCUGAUUAGCUUGUCGGCGGGGUAACGGCCCACCAAGGCAACGAUCAGUAGGGGUUCUGAGAGGAAGGUCCCCCACAUUGGAACUGAGACACGGUCCAAACUCCUACGGGAGGCAGCAGUGAGGAAUAUUGGUCAAUGGGCGGAAGCCUGAACCAGCCAAGUAGCGUGCAGGAUGACGGCCCUAUGGGUUGUAAACUGCUUUUAUACAGGAAUAAAGUUAGCCACGUGUGGUUAUUUGUAGGUACUGUAUGAAUAAGGACCGGCUAAUUCCGUGCCAGCAGCCCGCCGUAA